RNAcentral lists this ribosomal RNA (617 nucleotides) under uncultured bacterium. Its description in RNAcentral is "bacterial SSU rRNA". It matches the Rfam family "Bacterial small subunit ribosomal RNA", at positions 15 to 639 of the family's 1533-position model. The record is from RNAcentral.
GAUCCUGGCUCAGGAUGAACGCUAGCGGCAGGCCUAAUACAUGCAAGUCGAACGGUGAUAGUAAUAUCAUAGUGGCGCACGGGUGCGUAACACGUAUGCAACCUACCUUAUACUUAGGGAUAGCCUUUGGAAACGGAGAUUAACACCUGAUGGUACAGUUGACUUGGCAUCGAGUUACUGUUAAAGAUUUAUUGGUAUAAGAUGGGCAUGCGUCCAAUUAGUUAGUUGGUGAGGUAAUGGCUCACCAAGACGAUGAUUGGUAGGGGAACUGAGAGGUUAAUCCCCCACACUGGCACUGAGAUACGGGCCAGACCCCUACGGGAGGCAGCAGUAGGGAAUAUUGGGCAAUGGAGGCAACUCUGGCCCAGCCAUGCCGCGUGCAGGAUGAAGGCGUUAUGCGUUGUAAACUGCUUUUAUAUAGGAAGAAAUAGACCUUGCGAGGUAAGUUGACGGUACUAUAUGAAUAAGCACCGGCUAACUCCGUGCCAGCAGCCGCGGUAAUACGGAGGGUGCAAGCGUUGUCCGGAUUUAUUGGGUUUAAAGGGUGCGUAGGCGGUUUAUUAAGUCAGUGGUGAAAGACGGUCGCUCAACGAUUGCAGUGCCAUUGAUACUGGUAG